AUUGAACGCUGGCGGCAGGCCUAACACAUGCAAGUCGAGCGGUAGAGCGAAGCUUGCUUCUCUUGAGAGCGGCGGACGGGUGAGUAAUGCCUAGGAAUCUGCCUGGUAGUGGGGGAUAACGUUCGGAAACGGACGCUAAUACCGCAUACGUCCUACGGGAGAAAGCCGGGGACCUUCGGGCCUUGCGCUAUCAGAUGAGCCUAGGUCGGAUUAGCUAGUUGGUGGGGUAAUGGCUCACCAAGGCGACGAUCCGUAACUGGUCUGAGAGGAUGAUCAGUCACACUGGAACUGAGACACGGUCCAGACUCCUACGGGAGGCAGCAGUGGGGAAUAUUGGACAAUGGGCGAAAGCCUGAUCCAGCCAUGCCGCGUGUGUGAAGAAGGUCUUCGGAUUGUAAAGCACUUUAAGUUGGGAGGAAGGGCAGUAAAUUAAUACGUUGCUGUUUUGACGUUACCGACAGAAUAAGCACCGGCUAACUCUGUG
This 484-nucleotide ribosomal RNA is filed under the name uncultured bacterium. Its description in RNAcentral is "partial 16S ribosomal RNA". It matches the Rfam family "Bacterial small subunit ribosomal RNA", at positions 30 to 507 of the family's 1533-position model. The record is from RNAcentral.